Molecule: long non-coding RNA, 1038 nt
Organism: Heterocephalus glaber (naked mole-rat)
Lineage: Eukaryota; Metazoa; Chordata; Mammalia; Rodentia; Bathyergidae
Source: Ensembl
AGGCAUGGUCCCGGUCUCAGAUGGCCACCAUCCAACCUCUAGGCCCUUGGCUUCUCCCAGUGUCUUGUGCCCUGGGUAUUGGGGGCACCUGGCCUGUUGGCUUUGUGUCCCUUGUCCUUGGCCUUAGUAUCACUUAGCUCUGUGUGAGCCUGUUCUGUGUGAGCCUCUGGGUUCCUCUUGGUGGAGGAGAGACAAUCUUUGAAGACUUGAGGGGGCAUGAGUCAAGACAUGGACAGUGACCCAAGACAUCCAGGCAGUCUGCCACGGCCAGGUCACUUCCCCCAAACCCCUGGUGCCUGACACACUGGGCAGAUAGCUGACAUUGGACAUGUGUUCUCCCCAGCCUUUGCCCUCCACCUGGGUGUGAAAAGCGCUCGGUUCCAUGGGGCUGGAUCAGGCAACCAGAGAAGCCCACCCAGCCCCUGCCUUCUCGUCCCUUGAAGACAUCCUGUCCCCUCUCAGAACCCAGUCACAGGCUUGACUGAGCCCCUGGCCCGGAUCAGACCAGAUGAGUCCAGGCCCUCAGAGCCUACGUGUGUGGUGGCGAGGCUGGUAGCAGCAAGGAGACUCCGCAGUGUCUUUGGGCUGUCACAGGCUUUACUAAGCCUCCAGGCCUGAUCUGGGUUCUGACUCCUUCAUGAGCCUGACCCUCACCAGGCUGUAGAGCAGGCGAGGCCCUCAUUUGAUGGGACACAGCCGGUCCCUGGUAGCAGUGGUGGGGGACCCUUCUGUAGGGCUCUGACCACCUGGUACUGAAGUACCAAUUAUGCUCUCUGAGUGCUGGUUUCUUGUCACUCAGGUCUUAGCACAGAUGCCACCACCUGGGGGAGCCUGCUCAUCUGUAAGGACUUAUGUGCCCCUCACACCGCAGGGUCCAGCCCCAAGUGCUGGGCCUGCCGGGGUCCCUCGCAGGCAUGGCGCCCACCAGAAGAACUGAAAGAGCCAAGUAGAUCCUUCCACAUAAUGCUCACAGCAGCGGGGCUUGCAACAGCCAAAGGUGGGAAGCCCUGAGAUGGAUGGAUCUCGGCGUGACGGAAC